GACGAAGGUGGCAAGCGUUGUUCGGAAUCACUGGGCAUAAAGCGCACGUAGGCGGCGGCGUAAGUCGGGUGUGAAAUCCCUCGGCCCAACCGAGGAACUGCGCCCGAUACUGCGUUGCUUGAGGGUCAAAGGGGUGCAUGGAAUUCCCGGUGGAGCGGUGAAAUGCGUUGAUAUCGGGAGGAACGCCGGCGGCGAAAGCGGUGCACUGGUUGACUUCUGACGCUGAUGUGCGAAAGCCAGGGGAGCAAACGGG
Molecule: ribosomal RNA, 253 nt
Filed under: uncultured bacterium
Lineage: Bacteria
Description: partial 16S ribosomal RNA
Rfam family: Bacterial small subunit ribosomal RNA
Source: RNAcentral